This 207-nucleotide non-coding RNA is filed under the name Methylobacterium sp. The record is from RNAcentral. Lineage: Bacteria; Pseudomonadati; Pseudomonadota; Alphaproteobacteria; Hyphomicrobiales; Methylobacteriaceae.
CAAGGUUGGAAGGGCCAAGGUUCCCGCGGGUUUCGGUCCGUGGGCGAAGAGGGAAUUCGGUGGGCUCUCCGGAGCGAGGCCGAAGCUGCCCCCGCAACUGUGAGCGGCGAGCCCCUGCCGUCCGGGUCACUGGUGCCACGCACCGGGAAGGCCAGGCCGGGGUGCGGACCCGCGAGCCAGGAGACCUGCCUUGGGCAACGAAACGUC